GAGAAGGGUCCAGCUGCAGGCUUGGGCGUUCCCGUCAUGACACAAAAACGCCCAUCGGGCGUUCCCGUCAUGACACAAAAACGCCCAUCAGGCGUUCCUGUAGCGUUUCAUCGAUCAAUCAAGAAGAGUACCCUGGCACAUGCUUUGUCCAAUGGACCAUGGAAGGGACUUUACUUGGCUGACGAGUACGCAAUGUAUUCUACCCUCAAAAGCAAUAUGAUUUCAGUGAGGUGAGUUCUUUCAAAUCUCAAUCAGAUGUGUAGCAUGAAAUAUAAGGCUUUUAAUAAUUUAGUCAUCCUUACUGGAGGCUACAAUUAACAUGCAUCAUAGGUCAUACACAUUACUUUGUCUUCAGGUACUGCACUUACGGGAGGAGAUGGCUACAUCUU
Gadus morhua (Atlantic cod) is the source of this 389-nucleotide long non-coding RNA. RefSeq lists it as uncharacterized. Lineage: Eukaryota; Metazoa; Chordata; Actinopteri; Gadiformes; Gadidae. The transcript is spliced from 3 exons. The record is from RefSeq and is a predicted model, not a curated record.